CAGUGGCAGAUUCAGAAAUUUUUAUUUUCUGGGGUCAACAUGUAAAAAAUAAAUUGUAAAAUACUACUAAAAAGGUCAAAAAUAUGAUAUUAAUAUCUUAUAAUUAGACAGACUGACAAGAAAAGUAUUAAGAAUUAUAACAUUAUUAAUGUUUUCAAAUACAUCUUUCUCUAUUAUACCCUUAUUUAGUUUUAAAAUUUACCAAAAAGAGGGUUAAAUAAUUAAAUUUGUAAGGAGUCGGUUUAUAUAUAUAUAUAUAUGAA
Molecule: unclassified non-coding RNA, 263 nt
Filed under: Hevea brasiliensis (rubber tree)
Lineage: Eukaryota; Viridiplantae; Streptophyta; Magnoliopsida; Malpighiales; Euphorbiaceae
Source: RNAcentral